AUGAUUCGUGGGACGUCCUGCCGGUGGUGGCGAGUCGAAGGCGUGCACCCGUUGUGGUUUACCCGCUUCGGUUAUUGCGCGCCGGAGGCGGACCCCGAUGAAAUCCUACCGCGGUGCUCUUCGCCGAGUGUCGAGGUGGGCCGGCACGUUUACUUUGAACAAAUUAGAGUGCUUAAAGCAGGCCUGUUGCGCCUGAAUACUGUGUGCAUGGAAUAAUGGAAUAGGACCUCGGUUCUAUUUUGUUGGUUUUCGGAACCCGAGGUAAUGAUUAAUAGGGACAGGCGGGGGCAUUCGUAUUGCGACGUUAGAGGUGAAAUUCUUGGAUCGUCGCAAGACGGACCGAAGCGAAAGCAUUUGCCAAGUAUGUUUUCAUUAAUCAAGAACGAAAGUUAGAGGUUCGAAGGCGAUCAGAUACCGCCCUAGUUCUAACCAUAAACGAUGCCAGCUAGCGAUCCGCCGAAGUUCCUCCGAUGACUCGGCGGGCAGCUCCCGGGAAACCAAAGCUUUUGGGUUCCGGGGGAAGUAUGGUUGCAAAGCUGAAACUUAAAGGAAUUGACGGAAGG
RNAcentral lists this ribosomal RNA (563 nucleotides) under Barbitistes ocskayi. RNAcentral's name for it is "SSU rRNA". It matches the Rfam family "Eukaryotic small subunit ribosomal RNA", at positions 720 to 1163 of the family's 1831-position model. Lineage: Eukaryota; Metazoa; Arthropoda; Insecta; Orthoptera; Tettigoniidae. The record is from RNAcentral.